UAUUUCUAUUUUUUGAAAUGAGGUAACUGUGGCUCAGAGAGGUUAAAGUAACUUGUCCAAGAGAGGUGAAAGUAACUUCCCAGUUAGGAAGUAUAGGAGGCAGGAUUCAAACCCACACAGUCUGGCUCUAAAAUUGUGCUCAGUAUUCCCCAGUUGUGCUGGGUAGUCUCCUGCUUCCAUACCUUUGUGCUUUCUGUGCUCUUCUUGGGCAUUUCUUCCCCCAGUUUCCCACAUGGCUUUGCUCACUCAUCACCUUCAAGGCUUUGACAAAUCUUACCUCUUGUGUGAGAUCUUUUUAUACUAUCUCAUUUAAAAUUACAAGCAGCAAUGGUUGAUCUACAGUGUCAUCAGGGAAAGAGGAUCUGCCUUUAUGUUCCAUUAUUCUUGUGUGUGCCUUCCCCAUCCUUGAGGUCUAGGAUGACUUGUGGAGUGCAGACAUCGCAUCCGUGUUCUAGAGAGCAGAAGGAGAGAAGGGGAUACCUACCAACUGAAUCUCACUUAAGACUCUCUCUUCUUGCUGCCAGAACUUAAUAUGCCCAAUGGCCAUACUAAAUUGCAUAGGGGCCUAGAAAAUGUAGCAUUUAUUAAUGGUGGCAAUGAGCCCAACUAAAAGUCAGGGUUGUUACUCAGGUAGAAGAAGGGAAGAGACAACCAGCAGUCUCUGCCCCACGAGAAUUCCAUCUUUAUCCAUCCUUGUACUUUACUAUCUUUGAAUAACAUUGUAAACUUUUAUAGCUUAGCUACCAAAAAUAGGUUGACGACUCCCAUCCGUGCUGCUGAAACGUAUCAGCCACCUCUGAUAUUGGAGAUCUCCAUUUAGAUGUUCCAGAGGCUUUGUGAGCUCAACAUGUUUAAAAUUAAACUUAUCUUUCAUCUUUAAUGGCUCAAGUGUGCUCCUCUUCCUGUACCGUACCUCUGUGAAUGGUGCCACCAGUUUGUAUCUCCUUCACCUCAUCCAUUCACCCAGUUACAAAUUAAUUUUGUCCACAGACAGAUGAGCAGACAAACAGAGGAGCAGAAGAGAAGCACAGUAGAGGAGAGAAGAGAAGGAGUGUUUGAACAUCAAGGGAGGUCGGCUGGGGACAGCUGGAGAGGAGAUCAGCCAUGGGACAGCCAAACUCCAGGGGAAGAUCAUCUUCCCACUCCAUCCCCUUUCCAGCUCCCCAUCCAUCUCACUGAGAGCCACCUCCAUCACCUAAUAAAAUUCCCACUUUCACCAUCCUUCAAGUCUGUGUGUGACCUGAUUCUUCCUGGACACAGGACAAGAAACCAGGUACGAAGAGGGCACUGAGCUGGUUAAUACUUAAUCUGUGGAUGGCAGAGCUAAAAGAGCACUGUAGCACACCCACUGGGGCUUCAGGAGUUGCAGCCACCUACUCCUAGAUGCUGCUGUGGGGCUGGAACCCAAAGGCGCUCUUCCCAGCUCCUACACCUGCCGGUCUGCGAGCUCCCCCUCCUAUAAGGGGUUUGAGAGUGCAGCAGCUGAACAGAACAGAAGAGCCACACCCCUGUCGCAUUCUCUGCCCUUCGUGGGGGGUCAGGGGACUCUCACGUUUCAACUUGCCCUUAGUUGCAGGGUGAGGGUCAGUAAAUGUUAAUGGAGAACUAAGCUGAAAAGGAAUUUGACUAGCAGACAAGGCAAGAGAGAAUAUUCCAGCAUGUGCAAGGAUACAAAGUCAUAUACUGCAUAUUGUAUUCAAAGUACCAAAAAUAGUUUACUGUUAUUAGUAGUACAUAAGGUACAAAGGAGAAAAUUAAACUGGAGGGUUAGACAACUCUCGGAUCCUAAGGAAUUUAUAGUUUUUGCUGAAGCAGUGAGAAGCGACUGAGGUUGUUGAAAAAGAGUCAAAGUGUAGAUACUGGAAUUCACUGUUGGUCAUUUCCAAAGAGAAUUUUGGUCCUUCCUAGUGCCCAGAACAUAAUCUCUUUAUCUGGCAAAGAGAAUGUAGUCUUCUGUCUUCCUUUUCCCAAAGAAGGUUACGAUUAUUUUAUGAAGAUUGUAAUUUCUAGUAAUGAUAAUGGAAUAAAGAAGGAGUGAAAUGGC
Molecule: long non-coding RNA, 2044 nt
Organism: Rhinopithecus roxellana (golden snub-nosed monkey)
Lineage: Eukaryota; Metazoa; Chordata; Mammalia; Primates; Cercopithecidae
Exons: 2
Source: RefSeq, a predicted model, not a curated record